CCUACGGGAGGCUGCAGUGGGGAAUAUUGCACAAUGGGGGGAACACUGAUGCAGCGACGCCGCGUGAGUGAAGAAGGAUUUCGGGAUGUAAAGCUCUAUCAGCAGGGAAGAAAAUGACGGUAACUGACUAAGAAGCUCCGGCUAAAUACGGUCCAGCAGCCGCGGUAAAACGUAGGGAGCAAGGGUUAUCCGGAUUGACUGGGGGUAAAGGGAGAGUAGGUGGCAGAGCAAGUCCGAAGUGAAAACCCAAAGCUCAACUAUGGGAAUGCUUUAGAAACUGCACAGCUAGAGUGCAGGAGAGGCAAGUGGAAUUCUUAGUGUAGCGGUGAAAUGCGUAGAUAUUAGGAGGAACACCAGUGGCGAAGGCGGCUUUCUGGACUGUAACUGACACUGAGGCUCGAAAGCGUGGGGAGCAAACAGGAUUAGAUACCCUUGUAGUC
This 440-nucleotide ribosomal RNA is filed under the name uncultured bacterium. Its description in RNAcentral is "partial 16S ribosomal RNA". It matches the Rfam family "Bacterial small subunit ribosomal RNA", at positions 338 to 795 of the family's 1533-position model. The record is from RNAcentral.